CCUACGGGAGGCAGCAGUGAGGAAUAUUGGUCAAUGGACGCUAGUCUGAACCAGCCAAGUAGCGUGCAGGAUGACUGCUCUAUGUGUUGUAAACUUCUUUUAUAUGAGGAUAAACUGCAGUAUGUAUACUGCUCUGCAUGUAUCUUAUGAAUAAGGAUCGGCUAACUCCGUGCCAGCAGCCGCGGUAAUACGGAGGAUCCGAGCGUUAUCCGGAUUUAUUGGGUUUAAAGGGUGCGUAGGCGGGUGGAUAAGUCAGUUGUGAAAGUUUGCGGCUCAACCUCUGAAUUGCAGUUGAUACUGGCAUCCUUGAGUACAGUAGAGGUAGGCGGAAUGUGUGGUGUAGCGGUGAAAUGCUUAGAGAUCACGAAGAACUCCGAUUGCGAAGGCAGCCUGCUGGACUGUAACUGACGCUGAUGCUCGAAAGUGUGGGGAUCAAACAGGAUUAGAUACCCUGGUAGUC
This 460-nucleotide ribosomal RNA is filed under the name uncultured bacterium. RNAcentral describes it as "partial 16S ribosomal RNA". It matches the Rfam family "Bacterial small subunit ribosomal RNA", at positions 338 to 795 of the family's 1533-position model. The record is from RNAcentral.